AGGGCACCACCAGGAGUGGAGCCUGCGGCUUAAUUUGACUCAACACGGGAAAACUCACCCGGCCCGGACACUGGAAGGAUUGACAGAUUGAGAGCUCUUUCUUGAUUCGGUGGGUGGUGGUGCAUGGCCGUUCUUAGUUGGUGGAGUGAUUUGUCUGGUUAAUUCCGAUAACGAACGAGACUCUAGCCUAUUAAAUAGAUCGUUGGCUUACAAACGCCGGCGAGACUUCUUAGAGGGACAGGCGGCGAUUCAGCCGCACGAAACAGAGCAAUAACAGGUCUGUGAUGCCCUUAGAUGUCCGGGGCCGCACGCGCGCUACACUGAAGUGAUCAGCGUGCAUUUUGAAACCUACUCUGUCAAGAGUGGGGAACCCAAUGAACCUUCUUCGUGAUUGGGAUAGGGGAUUGUAAUUAUUCCCCUUGAACGAGGAAUUCCCAGUAAGCGCGAAUCAUAAGUUUGCGCUGAUUACGUCCCUGCCCUUUGUACACACCGCCCGUCGCUACUACCGAUUGAAUGUUU
RNAcentral lists this ribosomal RNA (519 nucleotides) under uncultured eukaryote. RNAcentral describes it as "SSU rRNA". It matches the Rfam family "Eukaryotic small subunit ribosomal RNA", at positions 1161 to 1698 of the family's 1831-position model. The record is from RNAcentral.